GGGCUGUAGCUCAGGGGUAAAAGCACCAGCUUUUAAUGCAGAAGGUCCCAGGUUCAAUCCCCAGCAUGUCCA
This is a non-coding RNA of Podarcis lilfordi (Lilford's wall lizard), 72 nucleotides long. The record is from the annotation of a GenBank genome assembly. Lineage: Eukaryota; Metazoa; Chordata; Lepidosauria; Squamata; Lacertidae.